This 737-nucleotide ribosomal RNA is filed under the name Neospirorchis sp. Neospirgen2. RNAcentral describes it as "eukaryotic LSU rRNA". It matches the Rfam family "Eukaryotic large subunit ribosomal RNA", at positions 445 to 840 of the family's 3401-position model. The record is from RNAcentral. Lineage: Eukaryota; Metazoa; Platyhelminthes; Trematoda; Strigeidida; Spirorchiidae.
GCUCACCAAAGCCGCGUGAUAGCGGGUCCCUGCUCUAUGGGUGGGGAUGUGCGCUGCACUUGUCAAGUGCUGCACGUUUGGGGGGUGAAGGGUUUGCUUGUCAGUGCACUUUCUCAUGGUGUUCACCACGACCGGCGCUGCUGUCUGUCUGCUGUGGUCAAACCGGUUAGGCUUGAUCUUUUGGUCAGGUUUGAUCGGGAUGGCAGGUAGCUUUUCGGCUCCUGUUGGCUUCGGCUGGCUUGAGUCGUUGAGUGUUAUCAGCUGGCCAUAGUAGAUCAGUGCAGUGCGUCGGGGCUAGCGGCUUUGGUGUGUGCAUGUGUGCUAUGGCUUGCUAGCGUGGCCGGGUCUGGCUGGCAAUUUCCUGCUUUUGCGGGUUGUCGGUGUCUCGGUCUCGUUUGGUAGGCGGUGGCAUGUGUGACACUUGCUUGGGCCAAUAGUCCGUGGUGUGGUGGUAGACGAUCCACCCGACCCGUCUUGAAACACGGACCAAGGAGUUUAACAUGUGCGCGAGUCAAUGGGCGUUACGAAACCCAAAGGCGUAGUGAAAGUAAAGGUUCGGCUUGUCCGGACUGAGGUGAGAUCCUGUUGUUUCUUCUGUCUUGGGUUACCAAGCUUUUGAGCAGCAGGCGCAUCACCGGCCCGUCCCAUGACGUAGUCGUGUAUGUAGCAUAUGCGCACCGUCGGGGCGGAGCUAGAGCGCACACGUUGAGACCCGAAAGAUGGUGAACUAUGCUUGC